Molecule: long non-coding RNA, 2529 nt
Organism: Numida meleagris (helmeted guineafowl)
Lineage: Eukaryota; Metazoa; Chordata; Aves; Galliformes; Numididae
Source: Ensembl
AUGGGGAUGGGGAUGGGGAUGGGGAUGGGGAUGGGGAUGGGGAUGGGGAUGGGGAUGGGGAUGGGGAUGGGGAUGGGAAUGGGGAUGGGGAUGGGGAUGGGGAUGGGGAUGGGGAUGGGGAUGGGAAUGGGAAUGGGAAUGGGAAUGGGGAUGGGGACAGAGACAGGGAUAGGGGCAGGGACGGGGACAGGGACAGGGACAGGGACAGGGACAGGGACAGGGACAGGGACAGGGAUGGUGCAGGGCUCAGCCAGGCUCCUCUCCACGCAGCACGCUUGGGCUCACAGAGCUCUGUGCCUGCAGCAGGAGCCACCCUGGCCCACAAACACCAGUGGCAUCUGCAUCAGUGGCCUCAUCAGGCAGAGCCCCAGCCAUUGUCACUCUUCUGGGCUUUCCCAAAUAGGUGCAGGCUGUGGGAGGGCCACGGGAGUGAGAAGAAACGCAGUGCCCUGCUCAUCUCCUUCAUUCUUGCUUCUUGCUCAGCAUCCCUGCUCCGGGAUGUCCCCACCUCCAUCUCUGCGCCCUGUGGCUUGGCAUGGUGACCGCUGCAAGACCCGGCUCACAGAGCGGAGAAACAAACUUCUUUCACUUUUUAGGAGCUUUUCUUUCAGCCACGAGCGGGCAGCUCCUGCAGCCAAACCACAGCAGCAGCAGCAGGGCAAGCUGCGCUCAGAUUUAUGGUCUGCCAUAGCCCUAUCUGGGCUGCACGUGACCAGCUCCGAAAUCCCAGGACCUCUGCUCUCCCUCGACCACGCGCCCAGCUCCCGAGUCUGCUAUAAUGGGAUGCUUGACAUUAGUUUGACACUGCCGAGGUUCUUGUUUUUGAAGACUCCAAUUGCUUUGGGAACUGCAGCGGCGCUGACAGAUCUACAGCAUUUCCCCGCGGACCGCGCGGCUCGGGUGGAUGCGGAUGUUUCCACGAUUCAGAGAAAUCCACUUAAAAGAAGCAGCGGGGCACGUGGGAGCCGUGCGGGAACGUCUGCUUCCCUUCCCACCGCCAGCACUUCAGUGGGGGCAAGGGGAACCCGCUGCUGAUUUUUGGCUCAUUGUCACGUGGGCACCAAAGCGCAUCCGCGAGCAUCCGCAACGUGUGCCCGGCCGGGACAGCCCUCACCACUGGGUUUUCCCAUCGGAGGGAAAGCGAUUUGUCUCCAUUUGUGACACGAGGAGAGGCGGUGGAUGAAUGAUAGUGUUGCAUACAUCAUCUGGAUGCUCUUAAGGGUGAGGAUUUUCUCCAGGGGAGAGUGCCGAGGCCGUGCGGAGCCGCUGCACGCACGCAUCCCCGGAGCAAACAAACAUGGAUGUUUUAGGGCUCGCCCUCGUGCUGGUGGCUGUAUUUUUAGCUCCCAGCCCUUGCUGGCUCUGUACAAAUGUCCCGUGGUGUUUCCACUCAGCUGCAGCUCAUCCCCACGCUCUCCAGCUCUUCCAAACUCAUCGGGCAUCCCAAUGAUUCCCACCAUGCAGUGUCCCCCGGGUGCUCCCCAUGCACACAGGAUGUCCCCAUCCCUCCCCAUGUACGUGCCUUUGUGCUUGGAUGCUGUCGGCCUCUGCUCUCAGGCAACAGCUAUAGGAUGAGAGAUGACGGCCUCAAGUUGCAUGAAGGGAGGGCCAGGCUGGGUAUCAGGAAGAAGUUCUUCUCCAAAAGAGCAGUGCUGCUCUGGCACAGGCUGCCCAGGGAGUGGUGGGGUCACCGUCCCUGGAGGUGCUCAAGAAAAGUGUAUAUCUGGCACUGAGGGACGUGGUCAGUGGGCAUGGUGGGGGUGGGCUGUGCUUGGGGAUCCAGAUUAGAGGUCUUCUCCAGCCUUAAUGAUUCUAUCAUUGUACGACCCAGGCCAGCACAGGAGCCCUCCCCCAGCAGGACCCAACGCCAGCCCCAGCACCCACCUCUUCCCCAAUUUCCCCUCUGCGGUGGCUGUGGGAGGGUGGAGCCAGGCAUGGAGCUGAGCCUCUCCCUCCCACAUUCCUCCCCCAUGCAUCAGCUCCCGGAGCCAUGGCCAGGUGCGGGGUGGGACAGAGAACCUGGAAGUCCUCGAGCAGCCAGCAGGCGGUGGGAACUGGGAGAGGCUUCACCCACCACCAAAAAACCAGAAUGUGAAAUAUAUAUAUGAUGGGAUAGCAUUAUAUUGUAUAUAUUAUUGUAUAUACUUAUCAAUAGAUGAUAUAUGUGUAUCAUUCAUAGACUACAGAUGGGGCCCUGGGCAGCUUGAGCUGGUGGGGGGCAGCCAGCCCACGGCAGGGAUUGGGGCUGGGGGGCUGCGUGGUCCCUUCCAACCCAACCAUGCUGUCAUCCUAUGGCAUCCUCACAACCCUGCCCAGAAAUGUUCCAAAACGAGUCGGAAACCAGGUGAAAAGGAGCAGAUAAGAGGGACGGAGAUAAGAAACCCUUAAAGGAAGGCCACGGAUAACAACAUGACACUUGGGUGCAUUGCAUUUCAGCAGAGCAGAUGCUGACUGAGUUGAUGAGGGUUGAAUUAAUUUGGGUAUUCUAAUAGCUCCUGCUUGACGCUAAUAAAAGCGACGUUUUGUGCA